RNAcentral lists this ribosomal RNA (1485 nucleotides) under Triticum aestivum (bread wheat). RNAcentral's name for it is "partial small subunit ribosomal RNA". The record is from RNAcentral. Lineage: Eukaryota; Viridiplantae; Streptophyta; Magnoliopsida; Poales; Poaceae.
AUGGCCGUGACUAGUGCUGACGAUGCGGCGAGCAGGCUGAGGAUGAUCAACGCCGGCAGUGCUGCUACCCGUGGCGCCUUUGCCGCAUCGGAGUGGGGCGGUUUCUUCAUCACCCACGACCCUCCUCGCCCGCAGGCAUGGCAUACAUAUAUACUCCUUCCAUUUGCAGAUCUACCUUUGCUCGUUUUCCAUUUUGCACAACCUCCAUUGCAAAGGUCGGAAGAGUGGAUGAGGGAGAGGGUGGAGGAGCUAAAGGGGCGAGUCCGCACGAUGUUCUCCGACGGCAGUGUGGCUGAGGCGGUGACAUUGAUGGACACACUUGAGCGUCUCGGCGUGGAUGGCCACUUCCGCGAAGAGAUUGACUCGGCCAUAAGCCGGAUCGUUCACCCGGAUGAGUCCGCUGGUUUUGAUGACCUUCAUGUUGUCGCGACUCGGUCUCGGUUGCUUCGGCAGCAUGGGAUAUGGGUGUCCACAGAUGCGUUGGACAACUUUAGAGAUGGCAUGGGCAACUUCAAGGCAAGCCUGAGCAGUGACCCGAGGGCUCUACUAAGCUUGUACAACGCAGCUCACAUGGCGGUACCGGGUGAUGGCCCGGCCCUCGACGAUGUCAUCAACUUCACACGGCACCAGCUCGAGACCAUUGUAGCAAAAGGUGAGCUCCGGUCGCCGUUGGCGGAGCAGGUCGCCCGCGCCCUCGACCACCCUCUCCCGUGGUUCACCAGGCUGCUAGAGACCAUGUAUUACGUUGGUGAGUAUGCGCAAGAGGAGACGCAUGACAAUACGCUGCUGGAGCUUGCUAGGCUCAACUCUCACCUCAUGAGGUCUCUUCACCUCAGGGAGCUAAAGGCAUUGUCCUUGUGGUGGAGGGAUCUUUACGACACGGUGAAUCUACCGUACACUCGAGACCGUAUGGUGGAGGUCUACUUUUGGAGUUGCGGAAUGAUCCCUGAGGAGGAACACUCACGCGCACGAUUGAUGUUCGCCAAGACGUUUGGGUUGGUGACUUUUCUUGACGAUACCUAUGAUGUCCAUGCCACCUUAGAGGAAUGCCGUAGUUUCACCAAAGCCAUGCAGAGAUGGGACGAUAGCGCGGUUUCUAUUCUACCUGAAUACCUUCGCAUGUUGUACAUCAAAACGCUAAGCACCUUCAAAGAUUUUGAGAAUAUGUUAAAACCGCACGAGAAGUACCGCAUGUCUUAUGCAAAAAAAGCGUACCAACUACAGGCGGAAUACUAUAUGCAAGAGGCCCAAUGGUCCAACGACAAGCACCAGCCGACCUUCAAGGAACACGAGGAGCUGUCGGUCAUGUCUUCGGGCUUGCCGAUGCUUAACCUCGAGGCCCUCAUGGGCUACGGCGCCAUAGUAACCAAGAAGGUAUUCGAGUGGACAUGCGCCGUCCCCGACGUAGUCCGUGCCGGUGCACAGAUCGGCCGCUUCCUCAACGACAUUUCCUCUUACAAGUUGGGGGAAGAAGGACGUGGCUAG